ACACACACACACACACACACACACACACACACACACACACACACACACAUUCUUUUCUCUGUUGUUUUACAGCAGAGAGAAAUGUGUGUAAACAGUCACACAGAAAGUGAGUGAACAAUAGUUUAUGUUUAUCCCCUUUAAAGGGACAUUAACUUUUUGGGACACCUGUCAGUGUAGUUUGUUUUGGUGUGAGAUAUCUAAAUGUAAACCUCCCUUCAAAAUAAAGGCGCUGAAUGAAUCUGCUCACAACAGAUUGCCGUCACAUUAUAACUUUAAGCGCCAUGUCGUCUCGCGGAGAAGGCCGACGUCUCUACCUCACGACAAGACGAAGAGCACACUGUAAAACAGGCAAAAAACGUUUAGAUCCUGGUGUGAACUGUCCCUUUAAAGAUGAUUUUAAGCCGUUGUGUUAUGUUAAGCCUGUAAUCCUACCAGUGUGUGUCUGUGUGUGCCUCUACUGGGACGUCCCCUCCUUCAUCUCUCUCUCUCCUCCUGUCUUCCUCUUCUUCUUGUUUGUAGUAUUUUUUAUACUUCCUGUAUGUUCAGCCAGCGCGGCGAGCGGUCGAUGCUCCGCGUCACGAGAGCUGAAACAGCACGACGCCCACCGACUUCUCCCAACGCGGCUCAUGAUCUCAUCUCAAGGUCAAAGGUGAUUCGCCCUUUGAUUGAUUCCCUCGUCUGUCCCUCAGUGGCUUCGGGGUCAACAGAUUCAUUUCUCCAUGUUCGUUUUAAAGACAUUAAACUAAUUCCGGAGGCAUCAAAGACUCCUCAGAUACAAACGAGCGGCCUGCAUCCGAAGAGACGGACGAGGCUCCGAGUCAUUUUUGAUUUGUCCUCCAGAGACGACUCUGACUCCGUCAAUGAACAACUCCGCUCGGGCUCCCGCGGGGUCGCGGCGGCGGGUUUCGCUCCGCUCACCAGGGGGCGCUGUUGCAUAAAGGACUUGAAUUUGACCCCGUGGAACAGACCUCGGACCGGCCCGCUUGCACGAGGUCCAGAAGACUAG
This is a long non-coding RNA of Gasterosteus aculeatus (three-spined stickleback), 1006 nucleotides long. Lineage: Eukaryota; Metazoa; Chordata; Actinopteri; Perciformes; Gasterosteidae. The record is from Ensembl.